This 66-nucleotide transfer RNA is filed under the name marine eukaryotic metagenome. It matches the Rfam family "tRNA", at positions 5 to 66 of the family's 71-position model. From Rfam's summary of the family: Transfer RNA (tRNA) molecules are approximately 80 nucleotides in length. Their secondary structure includes four short double-helical elements and three loops (D, anti-codon, and T loops). The record is from RNAcentral.
AGAGUAGCUCAGUUGGUAGAGCGUCAGCCUUCCAAGCUGAAUGUCGCCGGUUCGAACCCGGUCUCC